Macrostomum lignano is the source of this 70-nucleotide non-coding RNA. Lineage: Eukaryota; Metazoa; Platyhelminthes; Macrostomidae. The record is from Rfam.
GGGGUUGUAGCCUAGUGGUCGGAGCGUCGGAUUCACGACUUGAAGGUUGGGGGUUCGAUUCCCGAUCCCA